This 497-nucleotide ribosomal RNA is filed under the name uncultured bacterium. RNAcentral's name for it is "partial 16S ribosomal RNA". It matches the Rfam family "Bacterial small subunit ribosomal RNA", at positions 28 to 507 of the family's 1533-position model. The record is from RNAcentral.
GAUGAACGCUGGCGGCGUGCCUAAUACAUGCAAGUCGAGCGAACAGGCGAGGAGCUUGCUCCUCUGACGUUAGCGGCGGACGGGUGAGUAACACGCGGAUAACCUACCUAUAAGACUGGGAUAACUUCGGGAAACCGGAGCUAAUACCGGAUAAUAUAUUGAACCGCAUGGUUCAAUAGUGAAAGACGGUUUUGCUGUCACUUAUAGAUGGAUCCGCGCCGCAUUAGCUAGUUGGUAAGGUAACGGCUUACCAAGGCAACGAUGCGUAGCCGACCUGAGAGGGUGAUCGGCCACACUGGAACUGAGACACGGUCCAGACUCCUACGGGAGGCAGCAGUAGGGAAUCUUCCGCAAUGGGCGAAAGCCUGACGGAGCAACGCCGCGUGAGUGAUGAAGGUCUUCGGAUCGUAAAACUCUGUUAUUAGGGAAGAACAAAUGUGUAAGUAACUAUGCACGUCUUGACGGUACCUAAUCAGAAAGCCACGGCUAACUACGUG